This 442-nucleotide ribosomal RNA is filed under the name uncultured bacterium. Its description in RNAcentral is "partial 16S ribosomal RNA". It matches the Rfam family "Bacterial small subunit ribosomal RNA", at positions 339 to 795 of the family's 1533-position model. The record is from RNAcentral.
CUACGGGGUGCAGCAGUGGGGGAUAUUGCACAAUGGAGGAAAAGCUGAUGCAGCAACGCCGCGUGAGGGAAGGACGUUUUCUUCCUGUAAACCUCUGGGGGAGGGGAAGAAAAAAAUGACGGUAGCCGAAGAGGAAGCCACGGCUAACUACGUGCCAGCAGCCGCGGUAAUACGUAGGUGGCAAGCGUUGUCCGGAUUUACUGGGUGUAAAGGGUGCGCAGGCGGGACUGCAAGUUGGAUGUGAAAAUCUGAGGCUCAACCUCAGAACUGCAUCCAAAACUGUGGUUCUUGAGUGGAGUAGAGGUAAGCGGAAUUCCGAGUGUAGCGGUGAAAUGCGUAGAUAUUCGGAGGAACACCAGUGGCGAAGGCGGCUUACUGGGCUCUAACUGACGCUGAGGCACGAAAGCAUGGGUAGCAAACAGGAUUAGAUACCCUUGUAGUC